Molecule: ribosomal RNA, 752 nt
Filed under: uncultured bacterium
Lineage: Bacteria
Description: bacterial SSU rRNA
Rfam family: Bacterial small subunit ribosomal RNA
Source: RNAcentral
AGAGUUUGAUCAUGGCUCAGGAUGAACGCUGGCGGCGUGCCUAAUACAUGCAAGUCGAGCGGUAAGGCCCUUUCGGGGGUACACGAGCGGCGGACGGCUGAGUAACACGUAGGAACGUACCCCAAACUGAGGGAUAACUGCUCGAAAGAGUAGCUAAUACCGCAUGUGCUCUUCGGAGUAAAGCUACGGCGGUUUGGGAACGGCCUGCGUCCGAUUAGCUUGUUGGUGAGGUAAUGGCUUACCAAGGCGACGAUCGGUAGCUGGUCUGAGAGGAUGAUCAGCCAGACUGGGACUGAGAACGGCCCAGACUCCUACGGGAGGCAGCAGUAGGGAAUUUUCCACAAUGGGCGAAAGCCUGAUGGAGCAACGCCGCGUGCAGGAUGAAGGCCUUCGGGUUGUAAACUGCUUUUAUCUGUGACGAAUAUGACGGUAGCAGAUGAAUAAGCCUCGGCUAACUCCGUGCCAGCAGCCGCGGUCAUACGGAGGAGGCAAGCGUUAUCCGGAAUUACUGGGCGUAAAGAGUUGCGUAGGUGGCAUUGUGUGUCGGUAGUGAAAGCGUGUGGCUCAACCAUAUAUCCAUUACCGAAACUGCAAGGCUAGAGGACGAGAGAGGUUAUUGGAAUUCCCAGUGUAGGAGUGAAAUCCGUAGAUAUUGGGAGGAACACCGAUGGCGUAGGCAGAUAACUGGCUCGUUCCUGACACUAAGGCACGAAAGCGUGGGUAGCAAACGGGAUUAGAUACCCCCGUAGUCC